RNAcentral lists this ribosomal RNA (253 nucleotides) under uncultured bacterium. RNAcentral describes it as "partial 16S ribosomal RNA". It matches the Rfam family "Bacterial small subunit ribosomal RNA", at positions 524 to 776 of the family's 1533-position model. The record is from RNAcentral.
UACGUAGGUGGCAAGCGUUGUCCGGAUUUACUGGGCGUAAAGAGCGCGCAGGCGGUCGUUUAAGUCGAAUGUGAAAGCCCCCGGCUCAACUGGGGAGGGUCAUUCGAUACUGAUCGACUUGAAGGCAGGAGAGAGAAGUGGAAUUCCCGGUGUAGUGGUGAAAUGCGUAGAUAUCGGGAGGAACACCGGUGGCGAAGGCGGGUCUCUGGGCCGUAACUGACGCUGAGGAGCGAAAGCGUGGGGAGCGAACAGG